GGAAGGUCACACCCGUUCCCAUCCCGAACACGGUAGUUAAGCUUCUCUGCGCCAAUGGUAGUUGGGGGCUUCCCCCUGCGAGAGUAGGUCGCUGCCGGGC
Molecule: ribosomal RNA, 100 nt
Filed under: Listeria monocytogenes
Lineage: Bacteria; Bacillati; Bacillota; Bacilli; Caryophanales; Listeriaceae
Source: RNAcentral